CAGCUGUGUUCCUUCAGCUAACCCCAAGGAGAAAGAAUUUGCCCUUUCCCUGCCAACCUACGGACCAGGUCAGUGUGUCCCAUCACUUGGGCCGUCACUUUGUCCUAAAAUACCAAGGUCCAUUGCUAAGCAAGCUUCCAAAUCCAAAUUUCAGCCUAAUGUAAUUUGAAAAAGUCAGACACCAAACUGCAAUCAUGGAACUCACUUCUGCCAGCCGUAUUCACAUUGUUUUCAACAGGUCUACUCACAGAGAGUUUGGUACUAGUUUAUGUAAAUGUAAGGGUGGUAGAAUAAAAACCUUGUCUGAGCUAUGGUGAAGCUGUAGGCACUGCUUUAAGACAUAUCUUUCUGGGGUUGUUUAUCCUUGUGUGUUUUAAAGUCAUCGUCGCAGAAUAUCAGUACUUAUCCAAGGUGAAGUGCCAACAUCAUAUUGACAUUCAACAGGGUUUCCUUGCUUAGUUCUCAGAAGUCUGAAUGAACUUCAGUAAAAAUUAUUCCCCACCAGAGGGUUGAAUUCACGUACAGGACUUGUGUCGAGGAUUUUGUCUGUGAAGCUUCUGUGAUCUUCCAACUGCGGAGUUGUUUUCUAAUUUAGGAGAGGAGCCCAAAUCUUUUUCCUGAUUUAUCAUGGAUAACACAAAAUUGCAGGUUAAAGCUUAGAUAGAUGGGCUAGGCGGAUUAGGUAGAUGGACAAGAACAUUAGGUCUUCUGUUGCCAACAUCUGUGAUUAUAUAAAGGAACCGAUUAGUCUAAUGGUUAGAGCAGGAAGCCUGACUCAACAAAGCUAUUCUCUGUUCUUCCAUUGAUUUCGUCUAUGACCUUAAGCAAAAUGUAAAAUUCAAGUCAUGUUUACUGUUCCAUGGGUCUGAGACCCUCAGACAAAAAGUGUCACAUGGGUACAAAGUGUUAUUAAUGAUUAUUAUUACUGAUUGAUUUGUAUUGUACAGCAUGUCUGCCAGCAUUCUCCUAACAAGCACUGGCAGGCUUUAGGUACUGAUGGUUUCUUGCUACUAGAAAACCUCCCCUGUGGAUGGGUUCUGGGGAUCAGCCAGCUGAUAUCGCUUCGUACUCCUUUUACUUUAAAUGAUGCCCCAUGUGUCCAGACAUGUGCAAGCGGGCCUCAUACCAUCCCUCCACUGGACAUGCAUUGCCUCAAGCUGUCUGUGUCCUGCAGACAGCUACUAGCCUUGGUCUUUCAGCACUGUAGGAAAACGAAGGGGGAGGAGAAAAGCCACGAUGCCAUUGGUACUUGGUAUCGAGGAGCUUAGUUGUUUUCUGAGCUUGGCAGCCAAUGCUGACACCAUACUGCUCAGGAAGUCUUUCUUUGGGUACAUCUAUGCUAGUAACUGUACAUGUGUCCAACCCCCAUAUUGUCCACUUCUAAACCCAGAAACAGAUGGCUGAAAGUGACUAGGAGGUGAGCAAGCAAGCACACCCCAGGGGUGUGGGUAAGUACAUGCCUCAGGCUGGGGCACAACUCUGUACCCAUGCCGGUUUGCAGCGUGGAUGGGGGUAAGAGGCAUGUACCAGGUCUCAAGUUUCAAUAGUCCUCCACCCUCAGUCCCAUAACGUAGUGAAUCCUUUUCUUCCAGACCCUUCCCCAGUCUACAUAGGUCCCUGUCCCCCUGUCUUCAUUAGCGGUAGCGAGCUGUAUUGACCACAUCAGAACAGCUUUCCACUGCAUUCUUUUGAUCAAUACAGCUGGUAAUCAUGGCUCCUGCUCCAAGAGCAGCUGCCUGGCCUGCCAACUACACCCAGCUGCUGACCAAUGUGUGUUCAGCACAUACCAUCCUCCAUGACUUCUUCUGGAGUGGCAGGAACAUUUACCUCUACUAGGAAAUUUCCUGGAGGCUGGACUGGAUGGACAUUAAGUAGACUCCAGCUCCAUGCCAGGAACGUCUAAAGCACUUAAGGCUCCUCUACAGGAGUACAAAAGACUUGAACAGUCGCUCUGGGAGAGCUUGUCGUACAUGCCCCCUUCUACAAUGGGCUGGACCGGGUGCUGUCAUGGGCUCCCAGUACAGAGCCUGAAGUGGCUCAUGACCCCCUCCUCAAGCCAGCCUGCCUCAUUGUUCGACAGGAUGUUGUGGAAGGCCAGAGCAAGAAGGAAGUCCCAGAAGAUGGAGAGCAUGUAAUUUUGCACCUCUACCUGAAGGAACUGGUUGAGGAGGACGCCAAGCCACUGCAGGAAGCAGACCUCAAGGCUGGAUCUUUGGCUCCAGAGAGCGAAACCAUUCUCCCAGGAGGGCAGAAGCCGCACCCCAGGGACAGCAGAGACAGCCUGAGAAGGACUCUGGGAGAGCUGCUCAUAGGGAUGGACAGGAGGAACCAGGAGCAGUUUGAAUUCCUCAGGGCCAGGGAGAAGCGGGUGCUUCAGCAGGAGGAGACAUUGGUGAACUGGUUCACGGAGCAGGAGGCAUGCCAUAGGGAACAGGAGCAUUCCCAAAUAUAGGGGCUUAUUGAACUGGUGGCCAAAUGAGAUUGGGGUCCACCUGCUGCCAUGACCACUGUACCUGUCCAUGAAUCUCCAUCUCUUCCUCCUUCAGCUUCUGCCCAUGGUGCUGCUGAGUCAGAGGGGUCAACCCUCUCCCCCACCCCCCCACCAAACAAGAAGGAAAACAAAGAGCUCAGUUCCACUGGGACCUUACCUUCCACUGGCACCCAAAACCCCGCGCCGGGGGACUGCCCUGCACAUCCAUGACAAGAACAAUGAGCCUGUGGUAGCCCCUGAACCCCACCAAGUGCCUGCUUCCCUGAACCCCAUGCAAAAGAUGUCCCUGGUUGUUCCCAAGAACAGUUUUUCCUUGUCAUUCUCCCCCUUGCCAGGUGGAGGGCAAGGGGACUGAUGCAGAGACAUUAAUAUUCGCCCACUGUUCAGUCCCAUUACGUUUUAAAUAUUGUUGGUUUGCAUUUCUUUUCUACAAUAUUGUAAUUACACAUUCCAUCGAGUACUUUUUAUACUUCGUUAUAGUUUCCUUGACUUUGAACCCUCCUUCCUAAUGACGAUGAACACAUGUUUUCAGGUUCAGGAUUGGGGCCCGCGAUUCACAGCACAUGGAAUGAAAUGGCGUAACUGUCUGGUGCCAGCAUACUGCAAACACUUAUUUUUCUGUUUCACCACCAGGUUCAGAAAUACCAGGAGUCCCAAGGAUACACGGGAGGGAUGGGCAAAG
Molecule: long non-coding RNA, 3173 nt
Organism: Chelonia mydas (Green sea turtle)
Lineage: Eukaryota; Metazoa; Chordata; Testudines; Cheloniidae
Exons: 3
Source: RefSeq, a predicted model, not a curated record